GCCGCCUUGGCUAAGUGGUAAAGCGUUGCACUUGUACGUAAUCCUUUACGGCGAUGCAAAGACCAGUCGUUCGAUCCGGCUAGGCGGCA
This is a transfer RNA of Jaapia argillacea, 89 nucleotides long. It matches the Rfam family "tRNA". From Rfam's summary of the family: Transfer RNA (tRNA) molecules are approximately 80 nucleotides in length. Their secondary structure includes four short double-helical elements and three loops (D, anti-codon, and T loops). Lineage: Eukaryota; Fungi; Basidiomycota; Agaricomycetes; Jaapiales; Jaapiaceae. The record is from Rfam.